This 476-nucleotide ribosomal RNA is filed under the name uncultured organism. Its description in RNAcentral is "partial 16S ribosomal RNA". It matches the Rfam family "Bacterial small subunit ribosomal RNA", at positions 331 to 798 of the family's 1533-position model. The record is from RNAcentral.
GUACACUCCUGCGGGAGGCAGCAGUGGGGAAUUUUGGACAAUGGGCGAAAGCCUGAUCCAGCAAUGCCGCGUGUGUGAAGAAGGCCUUCGGGUUGUAAAGCACUUUUGUCCGGAAAGAAAUCCUUGGCUCUAAUACAGUCGGGGGAUGACGGUACCGGAAGAAUAAGCACCGGCUAACUACGUGCCAGCAGCCGCGGUAAUACGUAGGGUGCGAGCGUUAAUCGGAAUUACUGGGCGUAAAGCGUGCGCAGGCGGUUUGCUAAGACCGAUGUGAAAUCCCCGGGCUCAACCUGGGAACUGCAUUGGUGACUGGCAGGCUAGAGUAUGGCAGAGGGGGGUAGAAUUCCACGUGUAGCAGUGAAAUGCGUAGAGAUGUGGAGGAAUACCGAUGGCGAAGGCAGCCCCCUGGGCCAAUACUGACGCUCAUGCACGAAAGCGUGGGGAGCAAACAGGAUUAGAAACCCCGGUAGUCCCAU